UCAGAUUGAACUCUGGCGGCAUGCCUUACACAUGCAAGUCGAACGGCAGCACGGGUGCUUGCACCUGGUGGCGAGUGGCGAACGGGUGAGUAAUACAUCGGAACAUGUCCUGUAGUGGGGGAUAGCCCGGCGAAAGCCGGAUUAAUACCGCAUACGAUCUACGGAUGAAAGCGGGGGACCUUCGGGCCUCGCGCUAUAGGGUUGGCCGAUGGCUGAUUAGCUAGUUGGUGGGGUAAAGGCCUACCAAGGCGACGAUCAGUAGCUGGUCUGAGAGGACGACCAGCCACACUGGGACUGAGACACGGCCCAGACUCCUACGGGAGGCAGCAAUCACUAGUGAAGUCCGCAGCA
This 351-nucleotide ribosomal RNA is filed under the name Burkholderia multivorans. RNAcentral's name for it is "bacterial SSU rRNA". It matches the Rfam family "Bacterial small subunit ribosomal RNA", at positions 24 to 373 of the family's 1533-position model. The record is from RNAcentral. Lineage: Bacteria; Pseudomonadati; Pseudomonadota; Betaproteobacteria; Burkholderiales; Burkholderiaceae.